RNAcentral lists this ribosomal RNA (1459 nucleotides) under Cladosporium sp. MUCL 39951. RNAcentral describes it as "eukaryotic LSU rRNA". The stretch from base 540 to 1459 matches the Rfam family "Eukaryotic large subunit ribosomal RNA", at positions 1 to 943 of the family's 3401-position model. Lineage: Eukaryota; Fungi; Ascomycota; Dothideomycetes; Cladosporiales; Cladosporiaceae. The record is from RNAcentral.
GGAUCAUUACAGAGUUAGGGUCCCUAGGGCCCGAACCUCCCAACCCUUUGUUUAAUCAACCUCUGUUGCUUCGGCGGGCCCGUCUUUAACGGACCGCCGGGGGACCACCGCCCGCGGUGUCCUCUGGCCCGCGCCCGUCGAGAGCCCACGUCUAAACUCUUGUCUAAAACGUGAUUGUCUGCCUAAAUUCAUAAUUAAAUAAAACGCAAAACUUUCAACAACGGAUCUCUUGGUUCUGGCAUCGAUGAAGAACGCAGCGAAAUGCGAUAAGUAAUGCGAAUUGCAGAAUUCCAGUGAGUCAUCGAAUCUUUGAACGCACAUUGCGCCCUUUGGCAUUCCGAAGGCAUGCCUGUUCGAGCGUCAUUGUCAGCCCUCAAGCCCCGUGCUUGGUGUUGGACGGCAUGGUCGAGUCUCCCCUCGACCCGUCCCAAAGACAAUGACGGCGGUCGAUGGUCCCCCGGCACACUGAGCUUUCUAAGCACGUGUCGGAUUAGGGUGCCCCGGCCCCGGUCUCCUCCUUGUAUAAGAAAUUUCACGGUUGACCUCGGAUCAGGUAGGAAUACGCGCUGAACUUAAGCAUAUCAAUAAGCGCAGGAAAAGAAACCAACAGGGAUUGCCUCAGUAACGGCGAGUGAAGCGGCAACAGCUCAAAUUUGAAAUCUGGCCUCUUGGGGUCCGAGUUGUAAUUUGUAGAGGAUGUUUUGGGCACCGCCUCGGUCUAAAUUUCUUGGAACAGAAUGUCAAAGAGGGUGAGAAUCCCGUCUUGGAUCGGCGGUAGGGCCUGUGUAAAACUCCUUCGACGAGUCGAGUUGUUUGGGAAUGCAGCUCAAAUUGGGUGGUAAAUUUCAUCUAAAGCUAAAUAUUGGCCAGAGACCGAUAGCGCACAAGUAGAGUGAUCGAAAGAUGAAAAGCACUUUGAAAAGAGAGUUAAACAGUAUGUGAAAUUGUUGAAAGGGAAGCGCUUGCAACCAGACUUGCGCGCGGUGGUUCCCGUGCCUUUUGGCUCGGGUACUCCAUCGUGUCCAGGCCAACAUCGGUUCUGGGGGCCAGUUAAAGGCCUGGGAAUGUACCUACCCACGGGUAGACUUAUAGACCAGGGUGCCAUGUGGCCUCCCGGGACCGAGGAACGCGCUUCGGCUCGGAUGUUGGCGUAAUGGUUGUCAGCGACCCGUCUUGAAACACGGACCAAGGAGUCUAACAUCUAUGCGAGUGUUUGGGUGUCAAACCCGGAACGCGUAAUGAAAGUAAACGGAGGUAGGAAGCUUCGGCUGCACUAUCGACCGAUCCUGAAGUUUACGGAUGGAUUUGAGUAAGAGCAUAGCUGUUGGGACCCGAAAGAUGGUGAACUAUGCCUGAAUAGGGUGAAGCCAGAGGAAACUCUGGUGGAGGCUCGCAGCGGUUCUGACGUGCAAAUCGAUCGUCAAAUUUGGGUAUAGGGGCGAAAGACCAAUCGAACCAU